This 497-nucleotide long non-coding RNA is filed under the name Nicotiana benthamiana. RNAcentral describes it as "long non-coding RNA (NBEN_LNC034149)". The record is from RNAcentral. Lineage: Eukaryota; Viridiplantae; Streptophyta; Magnoliopsida; Solanales; Solanaceae.
UUUUAUAAUCAAGUCUUACAGUGAGGAUGAUGUGCACAAAAGCAUUAAAUAUAAUGUUUGGGCUAGCACACCAAAUGGUAACAAGAAGCUUGAUUCUGCUUACCAGGAGGCUCAACAAAAGUCUGGGGGUUGCCCAGUUUUUCUUUUAUUCUCGGUGAGCUUUCUUAAGAUACAUUAUUCUCUAGUCUUUUUUGAUUUUGAGUCACAUUCUCCUUGUUUUGGUUGCUUAACUUUGGUUUUCUUGUCCAGGUAAAUACAAGUGGUCAGUUUGUUGGUGUUGCAGAGAUGGUAGGACCAGUUGAUUUCAACAAGAGUGUGGAGUAUUGGCAGCAAGACAAAUGGAUCGGCUGUUUUCCUGUCAAGUGGCACAUUCAGGUUGCCCAGUUUUUCUUUUCUUCUCGGUGAGCUUCCUUAAGAUACAUUAUUCUCUAGUCUUUUUUGAUUUUGAGUCACAUUUUCCUUAUUUUGAUUGCUUAAUUUUGGUCUUUUUGUCCAGG